UUCAGGUGCCAGGGUAAUGUUUCAUAGAGUGGAAUGAUUGACCUCAACACAAGUAUUAAAAAAAAGAAGCAAAACAGGUCUACAUCUCAAAACCUGAUGUCUACCUGGACUGGCUUUAGUAGAACGAUGAUGCAUAUCAAUUUCAUCCCUGAUCUCUAUGACACCUGUGGUGGAAGUGGAGGGCAAAUCGUAAUCAGUUUGGGUUCAAGCCCCGAGGACCACUGUAAACAUUGCUUUUUGGUGAUGACUUCAUUUCCGAGCUUGAAAAGGACGCCCUUGUGUUUAUCAUGGCCUCUCAUAUUGGAAGAUAACAUAAAUGGCUUGUGUUUUGAUCGACGGUUGUGCAUAUCUCUUGGUCAGGAAAGUUGUAGGCACCAUCGCCAUUGUAAAUCAUUUGACAGGCCAGAGUGAACAGAGAGACCUAUGAUUGGUCAGCAAUGUAUCAGAUUCCAUACUGGGGGGUGGGGAUGAAAAAAACUGUUGUAGUGUUACAUAAUCAGAUUAUUUCAACUUACUUAUCCUGUGGAAAUACAGCUAUAUAGGAGAUAUUUUGAAAUUCAUAAGCACUGCAUGUUUCAACAUUUUAGAUUUGACCACAAUUUGGCACUUGAAACUAUGUUAACAGAGAAAAACUGUGUGGUUUUCGAUGAAAGUGUUAAAAGUCUAAUAUUGCAUCAUGAUUACUGUUUUAAAAUAACAACAGAUUUGUUUAAACUGCAGAAACAUGUGAGGU
Patella vulgata (common limpet) is the source of this 733-nucleotide long non-coding RNA. RefSeq lists it as uncharacterized. The transcript has 3 exons. Lineage: Eukaryota; Metazoa; Mollusca; Gastropoda; Patellidae. The record is from RefSeq and is a predicted model, not a curated record.